AUUGAACGCUGGCGGCAGGCUUAACACAUGCAAGUCGAGCGGUAGCACAGGGGAGCUUGCUCCCUGGGUGACGAGCGGCGGACGGGUGAGUAAUGUCUGGGAAACUGCCUGAUGGAGGGGGAUAACUACUGGAAGCGGUAGCUAAUACCGCAUAACGUCGCAAGACCAAAGAGGGGGACCUUCGGGCCUCUUGCCAUCAGAUGUGCCCAGAUGGGAUUAGCUAGUAGGUGGGGUAAUGGCUCACCUAGGCGACGAUCCCUAGCUGGUCUGAGAGGAUGACCAGCCACACUGGAACUGAGACACGGUCCAGACUCCUACGGGAGGCAGCAGUGGGGAAUAUUGCACAAUGGGCGCAAGCCUGAUGCAGCCAUGCCGCGUGUGUGAAGAAGGCCUUCGGGUUGUAAAGCACUUUCAGCGAGGAGGAAGGUGGUGAGCUUAAUACGUUCAUCAAUUGACGUUACUCGCAGAAGAAGCACCGGCUAACUCCGUG
RNAcentral lists this ribosomal RNA (490 nucleotides) under uncultured bacterium. Its description in RNAcentral is "partial 16S ribosomal RNA". It matches the Rfam family "Bacterial small subunit ribosomal RNA", at positions 30 to 507 of the family's 1533-position model. The record is from RNAcentral.